UAGUCCACGCAGUAAACGAUGAAUACUUGAUGUAGGAGGUAUCGACCCCUUCUGUGUCGAAGUUAACGUAUUAAGUAUUCCACCUGGGGAGUACGACCGCAAGGUUGAAACUCAAAGGAAUUGACGGGGACCCGCACAAGCAGUGGAGUAUGUGGUUUAAUUCGAGGCAACGCGAAGAACCUUACCAAGGCUUGACAUCAUUUUGAAGAUUGCUAGAGAUAGUGAUCCUUCCCUUCGGGGACAGAAUGAC
RNAcentral lists this ribosomal RNA (250 nucleotides) under uncultured bacterium. Its description in RNAcentral is "partial 16S ribosomal RNA". It matches the Rfam family "Bacterial small subunit ribosomal RNA", at positions 791 to 1035 of the family's 1533-position model. The record is from RNAcentral.